CAGUAGCCGCGGUGAGACAGAGGUCCCGAGCGUUGUUCGGAUUCAUUGGGCGUAAAGGGUGUGUAGGAGGUCGGGUAAGUCGUGUGUGAAAUCUCAGAGCUUAACUCUGAAACUGCGCUCGAUACUGCCCGGCUAGAGGAUCGGAGGGGGUAACGGAAUUCAUGGUGUAGCAGUGAAAUGCGUAGAUAUCAUGAGGAACACCGGUGGCGAAGGCGGUUACCUGGAAGAUUCCUGACUCUGAAACACGAAAGCCAGGGGAGCAAACGGGAUUAGAUACCCCAGUAGUCCCUGUCUCUUAUAC
Molecule: ribosomal RNA, 301 nt
Filed under: uncultured bacterium
Lineage: Bacteria
Description: partial 16S ribosomal RNA
Rfam family: Bacterial small subunit ribosomal RNA
Source: RNAcentral